GACGAACGCUGGCGGCGUGCUUAACACAUGCAAGUCGAACGGAAAGGCCCCUUUGGGGGUACUCGAGUGGCGAACGGGUGAGUAACACGUGAGUAACCUUCCCUUGACUUCGGGAUAACUUCAGGAAACUGGGGCUAAUACCGGAUAGGAAUCCUUGCUGCAUGGUGGGGGUUGGAAAGCUUCGGCGGUUUUGGAUGGACUCGCGGCUUAUCAGCUUGUUGGUGGGGUAGUGGCUUACCAAGGCUUUGACGGGUAGCCGGCCUGAGAGGGCGACCGGCCACAUUGGGACUGAGAUACGGCCCAGACUCCUACGGGAGGCAGCAGUGGGGAAUAUUGCACAAUGGGCGGAAGCCUGAUGCAGCAACGCCGCGUGCGGGAUGACGGCCUUCGGGUUGUAAACCGCUUUCAGCAGGGGCGAAGCUUGUGGUGACGGUACCUGCAGAAGAAGCACCGGCUAACUACGUG
Molecule: ribosomal RNA, 465 nt
Filed under: uncultured bacterium
Lineage: Bacteria
Description: partial 16S ribosomal RNA
Rfam family: Bacterial small subunit ribosomal RNA
Source: RNAcentral